Molecule: RNA transcript, 5425 nt
Organism: Malaclemys terrapin pileata
Lineage: Eukaryota; Metazoa; Chordata; Testudines; Emydidae
Gene: LEMD2
Gene name: LEM domain nuclear envelope protein 2
Exons: 10
Source: RefSeq, a predicted model, not a curated record
UCUCCCAAGAUGGCGGCCCUUGCUUCCCCUCUGACAGAGCGCUUCCGGCCAGGGCCCCGCUUGGGCGGCAGUUCCGGGCAUGGCCGGCCUGUCAGACGCGGAGCUCGGCAGGGAGCUGCGGGCCUUGGGCUUCCAGCCGGGGCCAAUCACCGACUCCACCCGCGAGCUCUACGUGAAGAAGCUGAGCCGCCUGCGGGCGGAGGGGGCGCCUAGGCCCCAGUCGGGGAAGACAGCAGCCCCCAGCAUGGCCGGCCUGUCAGACGCCGAGCUCGGCAGGGAGCUGCGGGCCUUGGGCUUCCAGCCGGGGCCAAUCACCGACUCCACCCGCGAGCUCUACGUGAAGAAACUGAGCCGCCUGCGGGCGGAGGGGGCGGCCGGCCGGAGGAGCCAGAGCACAGGCAGUGCCUCCAGGCCUGAGCCGGCCUCGGCCUCCUACCCUCGCCGCAACCCCAGCCCCCUGGCACACAGGGCCCACAGCCAGGGCCGUAGGGAGAGUGAGGAGGAGGAGGAGGGCUCGGAGGAGGAAGAUGAUGGGUACCAGCCCCCCCGCAGGGAUGUAGCAGAGGGGCUAAACCCUUGGGCCCAGCUGGGGAAGACAGCAGCCCCCGGGGGGCUUGCCCCCAGCACUCAGUGGGGGGCAGAAAGGGGGUUCAACCCCAGCUCCCAGUGCGGGACAAGAGAUGUAAGGUUAGCCCCCAGGCCCCAGUGGGAGGCAGAAAGGGAGUUAGCCCCCAGGCCCCAGUGGGAGGCAGAAAGGGAGUUAGCCCCCAGGCCCCAGUGGGAGGCAGACAGGGAGUUAGCCCCCAGGCCCCAGUGGGAGGCAGACAGGGAGUUAGCCCCCAGGCUCCAGUGGGAGGCAGAAAGGGAGUUAACCCCCAGGCCCCAGUGGAGGACGAGGGAUGUGGGGUUAACCCCCAGCACCCAGGGGAGGACGAGGGAUGUGGGGUUAACCCCCAGCACCCAGGGGAGGACGAGGGAUGUGGGGUUAACCCCCAGCACCCAGGGGAGGACGAGGGAUGUGGGGUUAACCCCCAGCACCCAGUGGGGGACGAGGGAUGUGGGGUUAACCCCCAGCACCCAGCGAGGUGUAGAAAGGGGGUUAACCCCCAGCACCCAGUGGAGGACAAGAGAUGUUGGUUUAACCCCCAGCACCCAAUGGGAGACAGAAAGGAGACUAACCCCCAGCACCCAAUGGGAGACAGAAAGGAGGCUAAUCCCCAGCACCCAAUGGGAGACAGAAAGGAGGCUAACCCCCAGCACCCAGAGUGGGACAAGAGAUGGGUGGUUAACCCCCAGCACCCAGAGUGGGACAAGAGAUGGCGGGUUAACCCCCAGCACCCAGAGUGGGACAAGAGAUGGCGGGUUAACCCCCAGCACCCAGUGGUGGACAAGAGAUGGCAGGUUAACCCCCAGCACCCAGGGCAGGACAGCAACAGUAGUAGGGGGAUUAAUCCGCAGGAUCCCAUGGAGGACAGGGGGAGAAGGGUUAACCUCCACGAGUCAGUUGACAGGGGCAGCCCCCAAGCAGGGUGCAGUAGGAAAGGGUAAGGGUCUGGAGUUCUACCUGUCCUGGUUCCUGUACCUGGCCACCCUGGUGUUGUUGGUGAUUUUCCUGGGCAUCCUCUGGGCGAAGAUGAUCGGGCCAGGCUGGCUUCUGGGGGCAGAGGAGAACCUUAAACUGUUAACUGUGGAUUGUGAGACAAGGACAGAUGAUUUCUGUCAAGCUAAACAGAAGGACAUGUUAAUGACCAUGCUGUAUGAAUUAUAUAACUACCUGGCAAUACAAGCUGGUAGUUUUGAGUGUGGAAACCCCGAGAAGCUAAAAAGUAAAUGCAUUCUGGUUAGUGAAGCAAAGGAUUAUGUGGCGAAUGUAACCGGUAAUUCCCCAGAGAAGUUUGAAGCUGCCCUGCAAUGGAUACUGAACAGUAACAAUGAUUUAGGGAUAUGGUUAAAAGGGGAAGACCCAUCAGAACCGGUUACCAGUGUAGACCAGGUGGUGUGCCUCGAAUCCACCCGUCCUCGGAUGGGGUUAGGCUGUCGUUUCCGCCGGGCAAUAAGCACCGCCAUUAUGAACCUUUUCAUCUUCUUCUGGAGUCUGAUUGUCCUCUGGGGGAUCCUGUUACUCCUGAAGUAUCGCUGGCGGAAGAUGGAGGAAGAGGAGCAGGCCAUGUAUGAAAUGGUGAAGAAAAUCAUAGAUGCUGUCCAGGAUCACUACAAAGAGUGGGAACAGAGGUUGGAGCGAUACCCAUAUGUAGGCAUCCUUCACGUUCGAGACACCCUCAUUCCACCCCAAAGCAGGAAAAAAAUGAAGCGGAUCUGGAACAGAGCUGUGGACUUCCUGGCUUCGAACGAAUCACGGAUUCAGACAGAGUCACACAGGAUAGCAGGAGAGGAUAUGCUGGUGUGGAGAUGGACUCAGCCCUCUUACGUCUCCGAUUCAGAGCACUAACCAGGAGCAAAGGAGGAGCUGUUGGUUCAGUCUGUGCAAAGGGACAAUUCCCUCUUUGGAUGUGGGAAGGGAUGGACAGGAGUUCUAACUUUCUCAGUUUAGAAUCACCCCAACCCCCUUUCCCUUCUAUUUCGGAGAGACACUUAACAGAUUAUUUUUAGGGCAAUAAUCUUGGUUUGUGAGAAGAUGGACUUGAGCUAGAGAAGGAGCCAGAAGCACACCAAAGCUACCUGUCCAGUGAGUGUUUGAACUCCAUGAGUAAACAAACAUAUAAUCACUCUUUAAUACCUAAUAGAAAGGGGCAAGGGAUCUCUUUGCCCAAGGGGUAGGAGGUUUAAAGCUGACCUUUACUGUGGGAAGACCAACAAGUGGUUUUACCCAUCAGCAAAUGUUUUUUAAAAGAAUUAAUAUUUCCCAUGGAAACAUCAGGAAUGGGAGUUAGGAUCCAUUAGUUUAAAAAAUGCUUUUAUCUCACUAGCACACCAAGAAUCAAGCAUUCAACUGACGCUUAACAGAGAAGAGCUCUGUAUUUGUUUUGCCCUUACAAAGGGUGGGAGGGAUUGAGUGAGGGCAGCGUCAUGUGCCUUGAGAGAUUUGGGAUAUGGGGGACUGGAGGAGAGGUGGUGAUCUCCUAUGCUUUGUAUGUCUGCUUUCGUUGUGCUUUGUCUUAUACCAGGAACGGGGAGUGGCAAAUGACAGAACACAGGUGUACAUAAGGCGCAUGCUCUUAUGGCUGCAGCCAAAAAUGAUCGCUCCGUAUGUACAAAAAAAGAACUUGGGAAUGAACAUCCAGUAGUCAAGUUCCAGGAUCCCGGUGUGCUAGGCGCUGUACAAACACAGACCAAAAAGACGGUCCCUGCCCCAAAACGCCUACUGUCGAAGUAUAAGACGAGCCAACAGGCAAGCGCAAGGAAUCAGUGAGAUGCUACUGGUCAGCAUGAUAGUCAGUGGUCUUAGCACACCAGAAGCCGAGCUGUUGUCAGGUUCUUGGUAGGCAGGUGAGACUGAUUUCUGUGGGGAAAUGAUGGUGAUAUCCAUGAAAGGUGUAGACUGAGAAGGAUUAAUCCUAUGUGGACACUUGUGUAAAAGGUGUUGACAGCUUUAUGUAUAAUGAAAUAUUACCAACAUUAACUUCUAACAGCCGAUUGACCAACACUUGGCCACAACGCCAGAGGUUAAAGCUGCAGACGUGGGAGCAAGGAGAUAGGUGAUUUAUUGGUUUUGGGUGCCAUGCAUUUAGGAACCCACUCUCUGAAAGCCAGAUCCCUUUAAUGCAGUUCAGGUUGGGCAGCCAUAAUCAUUAUACACUUCUGAAAAUCGUGGGCCUGGGUUCUAUUCCAACCUGUCACUGACUCACGGUGAUGCCUUGGACAAGUCACUUAAUUGAGUAGGACGACACCUGCCUUUCCAAAGUGCCAUGAGAUCUUCAGAUGAAAAGUGCUAUAUAAAUGCCAAGAGCUAUUGUAGGAAAAACUGGGAAGCAGGUGUGUUGCUUAGUGGAUAGGGUACUGGACUGGGACUUGGGAGAUCUGAAUUCUAUUCCCAGCACUGGCCUGCUGGGAGACCAUGGGCAAGUCACUUCCCCUCUCUGCACCUCUGUUUCUCCAUUUUACAGUUGGGAUAAUGAUACUGACCUCCUUUGUAAAGCAGUUUGAGACCUACUGUUGAAAUGGCUGUAUGAGUGGUAGGUAGUACUAUUUUCUUUACCCUUGCGUGUCUGAUGUAGAAGACUCAUGUCAUGGUAGCACUUCUGCCAAGGAGGGCAGGGAGAAAAUAGCCAUGACGGGGUGAAGGGAAGAGGUCAAAGUCCCAGCCCACCUCCUAGAUAACUGGGAGGCCAUCCUUCAAAAGAGCCUGCCAGGUAGAAAUAGUUUCUAAAUCUUGCAAGAACGCUAGCAAGCCUGAAUUAAUCCUUUUAAGUUCCUGCUAGUAUCCAUCCACCUAAGUAUUUCUAAUGCAUCUCUGUUAGCUGAGUGCCUGUGGGUCAGCAUGACUGUGCAUCACAAGCUGACGGUGGGUUUAACUUGUCGCUUUCACAAGCAGGCUCUUGAAACAAGCAGAAUUUGAAUCAUCAACACUUAACGUCUAUGGCCACAGCUGACUCAUAGGCUCUGGGUUGGUGAGAUAUGUUUGUUUAUCUCAUAAUGUAUGUCUUGGUGACAAAGAGGCAGAUCUUCAAUGGCACAAAAGAGAAUUAGCUGCCCAUCUCCCAUUGAAAGCUGACAGGAAUUGGGUACCUAACUCCUUUUGCUGUUUUGGAAAAUAUUCUCUGAAGUGUCUCUCUUGUUGUUGCUAGGUAUGUGAACAGAAAGGGGUAGAAAGAGGAGUGGUGCUUAAUGAAAGGUUAAACCUCCCUCCUCCAAGACUGCAUUUCUGUUUAGAUGCUAGUGCCCAGCAUAGGUUGCUAAGUUACAGCUGGGAUAUAUGCAGGGUUAGGAAUAGUCUGGGGGUUUGAUGUACCUACGUGUGCAGUCUGUCUGCCUGCUUCAAACCGAACUGCCAAGAACUCCCCCGUAAUGAUCCCUGGGAGAAUGGGCAUAGAGAAGCUUUGGGUAAUAGGAACUUUUUGAAAAUGAAGAGGGCUUUAACCCUAUAUAACUAGUUUAAGGCUAUCCUUCCUGUCAGUCUCCAUUAGGAACCCUAGUUCCUGCUUGCUCUGUAAAACUGUACUGACAAUUCAAAACACCUGUACAGCACUCUUUAUAGAUCCCAAAGUGCUUAUACAAAAGGUGAAGAAUUGUCCCCAUUUUCCUAAUGGUCAUUCAGCCACUUGAUCAAUCUCCCCUGUUCAGUGCUUUCCUUACCACUUGUACUGACUUUAUCGUUUUUAAAGUCUCCCCCACUCUCUGUAAGCAUUAAGACUCUGUGAAUAAAUCCUCAAAUGGCGGGCUGAUAAAGCCCUUGCAUCCCCUUGUUGUCAAAAAAAAAAAAAUGUACCAGCAAGGCAUCUAAAAUAAAAUUUGCCCUUUAUCUUUU